CAAGAUCUCACUACGUGGCUGAAUUGCCCAGGCUGGGCUGGAACAUGCGAUCCGCCUGUCUCAGCCUCCUGGAGUGUUGAGAAUACAGGUGUGCACCGCCACGCGGACCUUAUAUUUUACAUUUUUCAUACUAAGCCUGUGCCACCCAGAGUGUUACACUACCGCCCAUCUCAGUACGCCUGCGCUACACUUCCGGGCUCAGAGCCCACGUGGCUGCCGCGAUGGACCGCGGCGCUGCAGAGCCCCGGAGGCGGCAAGGAGGAGGACGCAGCGAGCAGGUGUCUGGCUUGUCCCCCAGGGAACCACAGCAGAGCUCAGCUGUCCUGGUCCACAGGGGAGACGUCACCCACGGACCACACACCUCCUGCCACUGGAGGCCCCUGCUGGUGACCGCACAGUCCCCAUCCUCCUGACACCAGAAGCCAACGAGGACUCGGGCAGCUGCCAUCACCAGGCUUGUGCUGACUCCUUCCUAGACGGCAGGGACUCUCCAGGGCAGCAGCUCCCCUGGGGGUAGGGGUCCCUCAGGAAGACCCCGUUCAACCCGGGUUCCAGUCCUGUGACUUGGUCAUCAACUGAACUGGUCACUCAGUGAAGAAUUCUAUGUAGUCUGUACAUUACAAUAUUCAGAACAAAGACAUGGUCAAAGGAAGCUCCAGCUUGAUGACUUCGCUUUUAUUUGCAUAACUCUUCCAUGCGGUACUGUAAUGUAUAACAGAACAUAAAGCUACAGCACUGUACUGUGCAGUACUAUCAGCAAAAAUUACAGCACUGAAUAAACAGGGUGUACUGUACAAUAAAAAGACAUUGAAGUUCUAUAAACAAGAUGUACAGAACUGUACAAAAAAAAAAGAUGGCUCAUAAAUCUGAGCAGAGGAUCUUAUGCCUCGGCCAUAAAUCUGAAGAGUAAACAGAUCGGUCAUUUAACAAGGAACAUCAUAGGGGCUGGAGAUUUAGCUCAGUGGUUCUGCCACCUGCCUUGAAAGCGCAAGGUCCUGAGUUUGAUCCCCGGUACCAAAAAAAAAAACAACAAAAAAACAAGGAAUGUCACACUGGAGCUCGAACCUCAGGCCUUUGCACUGAGCCACAUCUCAGGCCUUUUGGUCUGAGUCUACAUGGGUAUGAUUCUAAGUGUGUGUUUGAAUAUGGAUACACAUGUGACUGUAUCUCUCUGCAUGUGUGUAUAUGUGUUUCUAUAUCCGUCUGCAAGUGUGUGUGUGUGCAUGUA
RNAcentral lists this long non-coding RNA (1228 nucleotides) under Heterocephalus glaber (naked mole-rat). Its description in RNAcentral is "lncRNA (ENSHGLG00100048234.1)". The record is from RNAcentral. Lineage: Eukaryota; Metazoa; Chordata; Mammalia; Rodentia; Bathyergidae.